This 72-nucleotide transfer RNA is filed under the name Heterocephalus glaber (naked mole-rat). It matches the Rfam family "tRNA". Rfam says of the family: Transfer RNA (tRNA) molecules are approximately 80 nucleotides in length. Their secondary structure includes four short double-helical elements and three loops (D, anti-codon, and T loops). The record is from Rfam by way of RNAcentral. Lineage: Eukaryota; Metazoa; Chordata; Mammalia; Rodentia; Bathyergidae.
AGGGAUGUAGCUCAGUGGUAGAGCACUUGCCUAGCAUCCCUGAGGCCCUGGGUUCAAUUCCCAGCACUACAA